UUUGUGGGAGAUCUGCCGACGUGCCCUUGAGCAGGGCGUUGACCCUGGACGCUUCUGUGUGUCGCUCUGAACGGGAGUCUGUUGGAUAACUGGUGUAGUGUAGGUCUGUUGGAUAACUGGUGUGGUGUAGGUCUGUUGGAUAACUGGUGUGGUGUAGUGUAGGUCUGUUGGAUAACUGGUGUUGUGUAGUGUAGGUCUGUUGGAUAACUGGUGUGGUGUAGUGUAGGUCUGUUGGAUAACUGGUGUGGUGUAGUGUAGGUCUGUUAGAUAACUGGUGUGGUGUAGUGUAGGUCUGUUGGAUAACUGGUGUGGUGUAGUGUAGGUCUGUUGGAUAACUGGUGUGGUGUACUGUAGGUCUGUUGGAUAAGUGGUAUGAUGUUGUGUUGGUCUGUUGGAGAACUGGUGUGGUGUAGUGUAGGUCUGGAUAACUGGUGUUGUGUAGUGUAGGUCUGUUGGAUAACUGGUGUGGUGUAGUGUAGGUCUGUUGGAUAACUGGUGUUGUGUAGUGUAGGUCUGGAUAACUGGUGUGGUGUAGUGUAGGUCUG
Long non-coding RNA from Oncorhynchus tshawytscha (Chinook salmon), 545 nucleotides. NCBI's taxonomy places the organism in Eukaryota, Metazoa, Chordata, Actinopteri, Salmoniformes, Salmonidae. The record is from Ensembl.